Molecule: ribosomal RNA, 256 nt
Filed under: uncultured bacterium
Lineage: Bacteria
Description: partial 16S ribosomal RNA
Rfam family: Bacterial small subunit ribosomal RNA
Source: RNAcentral
CGGGACGGGUGAGUAACGCGUGGAUAACCUGCCCCAUACCGGGGGAUAACAGCCGGAAACGGCUGCUAAUACCGCAUAAGCGCACGAGGCUGCAUGGCCUUGUGUGAAAAACUCCGGUGGUAUGGGAUGGAUCCGCGUCUGAUUAGCUAGUUGGUGAGAUAAAAGCCCACCAAGGCGACGAUCAGUAGCCGACCUGAGAGGGUGGCCGGCCACAUUGGGACUGAGACACGGCCCAGACUCCUACGGAAGGCAGCAG